Molecule: long non-coding RNA, 774 nt
Organism: Mus musculus (house mouse)
Lineage: Eukaryota; Metazoa; Chordata; Mammalia; Rodentia; Muridae
Product: RIKEN cDNA 4931420L22 gene
Exons: 4
Source: RefSeq, marked predicted
GUGAGGGAAUGCCAGGGCCAGGAAGUGGGAGUGUGUAGAAGUUUCAAAAGGCAUCAGUAACCGAACAGCCUGUCUAGAUUGUCUUGCAGUUUGAAUGCAUAUGUGCUCUCCUGAGAUUUGGACAGAAGUGGGAGUAAUCUGAGAUGCAUGCUAAAAGAUUGACACUUCUAAGUGCACAGACAGCUGCAUCUUUUUCCGUGAGAUCUUUUUAUCAGCAUCUGCUCUCUAUCACAGCAGCUACCUAAUGUUGAGAGAGUCCUGCUUGGAAAUUGCUGAAAGAAAACAGUUCAGAGAACAACCACAAUCUUGGGUCCGUUUGUUCAGGUUUCCCUCCUUACCUGGAUUACUUGUGCACUUCUCAGAACUGGUUUGGGCUCCUCUGACAGUGGCUGAUUUUGUCUGGUCAGUUCUCCUAAUACCAGCUUGAUUGCUCCCGGCAUUGGAUAGAGGUAUAGAACCCCUAGGGAACAGUUAGGGGAAGGAUCUGAAGAGCUGAAGCAGAUAUCAACUCCAUAGGAAGACGAACAGUGUCAACUAACCUGGACCCCUGGGAGCUCCCAGAGACUAAGCCACCAACCAAGAGCACACAGAGGCUGGGCUAAGGCCUCAGACACAUAUGUAGAGGAGGACUGCCUUGUCUGGGACAAAGAGGACCGUGCCUAAUCUUGUAGAGAGCUGAUGUCUCAGAGAAGGAGGAUGACUGGGGGAAGGGCGGGUCACCCUCUCAGAGAUGAGAAUGUAAAGUGGAUUAAAAAAAAAACCUCAUAAAGCACC